GAUGAACGCUAGCUACAGGCUUAACACAUGCAAGUCGAGGGGCAGCAUGGUCUUAGCUUGCUAAGGCCGAUGGCGACCGGCGCACGGGUGAGUAACACGUAUCCAACCUGCCGUCUACUCUUGGACAGCCUUCUGAAAGGAAGAUUAAUACAAGAUGGCAUCAUGAGUCCGCAUGUUCACAUGAUUAAAGGUAUUCCGGUAGACGAUGGGGAUGCGUUCCAUUAGAUAGUAGGCGGGGUAACGGCCCACCUAGUCUUCGAUGGAUAGGGGUUCUGAGAGGAAGGUCCCCCACAUUGGAACUGAGACACGGUCCAAACUCCUACGGGAGGCAGCAGUGAGGAAUAUUGGUCAAUGGGCGAGAGCCUGAACCAGUCAAGUAGCGUGAAGGAUGACUGCCCUAUGGGUUGUAAACUUCUUUUAUAAAGGAAUAAAGUCGGGUAUGGAUACCCGUUUGCAUGUACUUUAUGAAUAAGGAUCGGCUAACUCCGUGCCAGCAGCCGCGGUAAUACGGAGGAUCCGAGCGUUAUCCGGAUUUAUUGGGUUUAAAGGGAGCGUAGAUGGAUGUUUAAGUCAGUUGUGAAAGUUUGCGGCUCAACCGUAAAAUUGCAGUUGAUACUGGAUAUCUUGAGUGCAGUUGAGGCAGGCGGAAUUCGUGGUGUAGCGGUGAAAUGCUUAGAUAUCACGAAGAACUCCGAUUGCGAAGGCAGCCUGCUAAGCUGCAACUGACAUUGAGGCUCGAAAGUGUGGGUAUCAAACAGGAUUAGAUACCCUGGUAGUCCACACGGUAAACGAUGAAUACUCGCUGUUUGCGAUAUACUGCAAGCGGCCAAGCGAAAGCGUUAAGUAUUCCACCUGGGGAGUACGCCGGCAACGGUGAAACUCAAAGGAAUUGACGGGGGCCCGCACAAGCGGAGGAACAUGUGGUUUAAUUCGAUGAUACGCGAGGAACCUUACCCGGGCUUAAAUUGCAGAUGAAUUACGGUGAAAGCCGUAAGCCGCAAGGCAUCUGUGAAGGUGCUGCAUGGUUGUCGUCAGCUCGUGCCGUGAGGUGUCGGCUUAAGUGCCAUAACGAGCGCAACCCUUGUUGUCAGUUACUAACAGGUUCCGCUGAGGACUCUGACAAGACUGCCAUCGUAAGAUGUGAGGAAGGUGGGGAUGACGUCAAAUCAGCACGGCCCUUACGUCCGGGGCUACACACGUGUUACAAUGGGGGGUACAGAGGGCCGCUACCACGCGAGUGGAUGCCAAUCCCCAAAACCUCUCUCAGUUCGGACUGGAGUCUGCAACCCGACUCCACGAAGCUGGAUUCGCUAGUAAUCGCGCAUCAGCCACGGCGCGGUGAAUACGUUCCCGGGCCUUGUACACACCGCCCGUCAAGCCAUGGGAGCCGGGGGUACCUGAAGUGCGUAACCGCGAGGAGCGCCCUAGGGUA
RNAcentral lists this ribosomal RNA (1432 nucleotides) under uncultured organism. Its description in RNAcentral is "16S ribosomal RNA". It matches the Rfam family "Bacterial small subunit ribosomal RNA". The record is from RNAcentral.